Molecule: long non-coding RNA, 1340 nt
Organism: Mauremys mutica (yellowpond turtle)
Lineage: Eukaryota; Metazoa; Chordata; Testudines; Geoemydidae
Exons: 4
Source: RefSeq, a predicted model, not a curated record
UGGUAGCUAAGUUGGGGCUCCCGACUGGCGGGAGGGGGUGACGUGGGGGCUGGGCUAGGGCCCGGCUCGCCGGACGGGGGCGGAGGCAGUUUUGGCGGGCUCCCGGCGGGGCUUGAGCCAGGCGGGGGCGAGCACCGCGCUGGGUAUUAGGCGGCCUCCUAGCGUCUCUCUUCAGUAGCGCGCUCCUUCCUCGCCCCGCCGCUGCUCCGCCUGAGGGGAGCGGAGCGGAGCUGUGGUGCUAGCAUCUUACCUAGCGCCCCUGGACGGGACACCGAUGGCUUUUAUCUCAAGGAACUGAUUUUGAGGGACGGACACAGUUCACAGUGUGGAGUGGCGUAUCAGAACAAAAGAACACAGAGGUGGCAUGGACACUGGAACACCAGAGCUGCUAGGGAACUCUUGGAAGAGAACAUUCACCACUAGAGGUUUCUCCUCGUAUACAAAGAGAAUGGAUGUGUCUGUUUAUACGAAUCCUCUUUCUUCCCACUUCAUCCCACCACAGAUUUCCACCCUGCAAAUCAGUGUUCAUUAUAUUUUGGCUGCCCUAAGUGAAAUUUCUCAGGCAUAGAAAACUGAUAAAUAAUUCUUUUUUUCAGCUAUGGGCAGAAUAAUCCCAUAUGUGCAAAAUGAUCAUGUUUCUUUCACAGUCCAAGCUGCAAAGUUCAGGUCCCAAUUUUCCCCACCUUUUGGAGUUGUUCAGAUUUGAGCCCAUUUAGAAAGAUAGGCCUAAACCCCAAAAUUCAGCUCCAGAUCUGAAAUCAUCUUAUUCUACGGUAUGGAAUAUAUUGUGUUAAAUUCCCCUCUGGUUUCUUUAAAAAUAAAUCUGGCUUCCUUCCUAUCCUUAUCCUUAAUAGGUACUGCAAAGGUGCUAUUCUCAGCUGCAAAGAGAUGUCACCUUAGCCUCUUUUAGCUUUGCAGUGACAUCUUGUGACCAAUUGACCUGAGAGAAUAGCAGAGCUCUACCCUCCCAUGUGGAGGAGAAUUUCAUGGGGACUGUGUAAACUCUUUUUAUAUAAAAAGAAAAACAGUAAGGCUUUCAUGAAGGUACAAGUUUGAAAGUCUUGCAACUUAAAAUUAAGUCACAAACGGAAUGUUCCAUACAAUGAGAAGGAAGGGAGGAUUGGAAGACCAUUGCAUUAAUUGUUUUCAAUAAGAUAAAGGGAUACUGCCAACUGGAAAUGUAGUCAAUUUUACAAAAAAAUAAAUAAUUUUAAAAUAGCUUCAGGUACUACACCUGUCCUUCAGUCUCCCUGACAAUUUUUGUGGUUUUACAAUUGCAUUUUUUUUAAAACUGUCUUUCCUGUUGCUGUGUUGAAAAACUACACAAACAAAAGGGAAUG